CUUGACGGAGCCCAGCCACAACGGGUGCCCAGGCUCGCGCUCUUGCCCGUAGACGGCCAGCAGCGCCUGCGCCUC
RNAcentral lists this antisense RNA (75 nucleotides) under Streptomyces sp. CNZ288. RNAcentral describes it as "ASpks TB sRNA". It matches the Rfam family "ASpks TB sRNA". The record is from RNAcentral. Lineage: Bacteria; Bacillati; Actinomycetota; Actinomycetes; Kitasatosporales; Streptomycetaceae.